GUUCUUAACGAUCCUUGAAAAUCCGGGUAAGAGAUUUAUUCGCACGCCAGGUCGUACCAAUAACCGCAUCAGGUCUCCAAGGUUAGCAGCCUCUGGUCAAUAGGAUAAUGCAGAUAAGGGAAUUCGGCAAAUUAGAUCCGUAACUUCGGGAAAAGGAUUGGCUCUGAGGAUUGGAUUCAAGGGCCCCAUUCAUGAACGCUUAGUCGUUAGUUGGUGCGAGGCAACGAGUGCUUUCUGACUUCGACGCUGGAUUGUGUGGGACGCUUCAUCGGCUUUCCUUGAAUAAUUAACAAUUAACUCAGAACUGAAGCGGACAAGGGGAAUCCGACUGUUUAAUAAAAACAUAGCAUUGUGAUGGCCUGAAAAGGUGUUGACACAAUGUGAAUUCUGCCCAGUGCUUUGUAAUGUCAAAGUGAAGUAAUUCAACCAAG
This 431-nucleotide ribosomal RNA is filed under the name uncultured eukaryote. RNAcentral's name for it is "eukaryotic LSU rRNA". It matches the Rfam family "Eukaryotic large subunit ribosomal RNA", at positions 1791 to 2240 of the family's 3401-position model. The record is from RNAcentral.